Molecule: ribosomal RNA, 391 nt
Filed under: Escherichia coli
Lineage: Bacteria; Pseudomonadati; Pseudomonadota; Gammaproteobacteria; Enterobacterales; Enterobacteriaceae
Description: bacterial LSU rRNA
Rfam family: Bacterial large subunit ribosomal RNA
Source: RNAcentral
AUAGACCCGAAACCCGGUGAUCUAGCCAUGGGCAGGUUGAAGGUUGGGUAACACUAACUGGAGGACCGAACCGACUAAUGUUGAAAAAUUAGCGGAUGACUUGUGGCUGGGGGGGAAAGGCCAAUCAAACCGGGAGAUAGCUGGUUCUCCCCGAAAGCUAUUUAGGUAGCGCCUCGUGAAUUCAUCUCCGGGGGUAGAGCACUGUUUCGGCAAGGGGGUCAUCCCGACUUACCAACCCGAUGCAAACUGCGAAUACCGGAGAAUGUUAUCACGGGAGACACACGGCGGGUGCUAACGUCCGUCGUGAAGAGGGAAACAACCCAGACCGCCAGCUAAGGUCCCAAAGUCAUGGUUAAGUGGGAAACGAUGUGGGAAGGCCCAGACAGCCAGG